Molecule: ribosomal RNA, 253 nt
Filed under: uncultured bacterium
Lineage: Bacteria
Description: partial 16S ribosomal RNA
Rfam family: Bacterial small subunit ribosomal RNA
Source: RNAcentral
UACGGAGGUCUCAAGCGUUGUUCGGAUUCAUUGGGCGUAAAGGGUGCGUAGGUGGCGCCGUAAGUCGGAUGUGAAAUUUCGGAGCUUAACUCCGAAACUGCAUUCGAUACUGCGGUGCUUGAGGACUGGAGAGGAGACUGGAAUUCAUGGUGUAGCAGUGAAAUGCGUAGAGAUCAUGAGGAAGACCAGUGGCGAAGGCGGGUCUCUGGACAGUUCCUGACACUGAGGCACGAAGGCCAGGGGAGCAAACGGG